This is a non-coding RNA of Schistosoma rodhaini, 45 nucleotides long. The record is from Rfam. Lineage: Eukaryota; Metazoa; Platyhelminthes; Trematoda; Strigeidida; Schistosomatidae.
AUUCAGCUCACGAGUCCUAAAUAGGACGAAACGCGUGUCCUGGAU